GAUGAAGAACGCAGCGAAAUGCGAUAAGUAGUGUGAAUUGCAGAAUUCAGUGAAUCAUCGAAUCUUUGAACGCACAUUGCGCCCUUUGGUAUUCCAAAGGGCAUGCCUGUUCGAGCGUCAUUUGUACCCUCAAGCUUUGCUUGGUGUUGGGCGUCUUGUCUCUAGCUUUGCUGGAGACUCACCUUAAAGUAAUUGGCAGCCGGCCUACUGGUUUCGGAGCGCAGCACAAGUCGCACUCUCUAUCAGCAAAGGUCUAGCAUCCAUUAAGCCUUUUUUUCAACUUUUGACCUCGGAUCAGGUAGGGAUACCCGCUGAACUUAAGCAUAUCAAUAAGCGGAGGA
This 341-nucleotide unclassified non-coding RNA is filed under the name soil metagenome. Its description in RNAcentral is "partial contains 5.8S ribosomal RNA, internal transcribed spacer 2, and large subunit ribosomal RNA". The stretch from base 1 to 120 matches the Rfam family "5.8S ribosomal RNA", at positions 35 to 154 of the family's 154-position model. The record is from RNAcentral.